RNAcentral lists this ribosomal RNA (1540 nucleotides) under Staphylococcus aureus. RNAcentral describes it as "bacterial SSU rRNA". It matches the Rfam family "Bacterial small subunit ribosomal RNA". Lineage: Bacteria; Bacillati; Bacillota; Bacilli; Caryophanales; Staphylococcaceae. RNAcentral also lists the same sequence under 2 other names. The record is from RNAcentral.
AGAGUUUGAUCCUGGCUCAGGACGAACGCUGGCGGCGUGCCUAAUACAUGCAAGUCGAACGCUUCUUUUUCCACCGGAGCUUGCUCCACCGGAAAAAGAGGAGUGGCGAACGGGUGAGUAACACGUGGGUAACCUGCCCAUCAGAAGGGGAUAACACUUGGAAACAGGUGCUAAUACCGUAUAACAAUCGAAACCGCAUGGUUUUGAUUUGAAAGGCGCUUUCGGGUGUCGCUGAUGGAUGGACCCGCGGUGCAUUAGCUAGUUGGUGAGGUAACGGCUCACCAAGGCGACGAUGCAUAGCCGACCUGAGAGGGUGAUCGGCCACAUUGGGACUGAGACACGGCCCAAACUCCUACGGGAGGCAGCAGUAGGGAAUCUUCGGCAAUGGACGAAAGUCUGACCGAGCAACGCCGCGUGAGUGAAGAAGGUUUUCGGAUCGUAAAACUCUGUUGUUAGAGAAGAACAAGGAUGAGAGUAACUGUUCAUCCCUUGACGGUAUCUAACCAGAAAGCCACGGCUAACUACGUGCCAGCAGCCGCGGUAAUACGUAGGUGGCAAGCGUUGUCCGGAUUUAUUGGGCGUAAAGCGAGCGCAGGCGGUUUCUUAAGUCUGAUGUGAAAGCCCCCGGCUCAACCGGGGAGGGUCAUUGGAAACUGGGAGACUUGAGUGCAGAAGAGGAGAGUGGAAUUCCAUGUGUAGCGGUGAAAUGCGUAGAUAUAUGGAGGAACACCAGUGGCGAAGGCGGCUCUCUGGUCUGUAACUGACGCUGAGGCUCGAAAGCGUGGGGAGCAAACAGGAUUAGAUACCCUGGUAGUCCACGCCGUAAACGAUGAGUGCUAAGUGUUGGAGGGUUUCCGCCCUUCAGUGCUGCAGCUAACGCAUUAAGCACUCCGCCUGGGGAGUACGACCGCAAGGUUGAAACUCAAAGGAAUUGACGGGGGCCCGCACAAGCGGUGGAGCAUGUGGUUUAAUUCGAAGCAACGCGAAGAACCUUACCAGGUCUUGACAUCCUUUGACCACUCUAGAGAUAGAGCUUCCCCUUCGGGGGCAAAGUGACAGGUGGUGCAUGGUUGUCGUCAGCUCGUGUCGUGAGAUGUUGGGUUAAGUCCCGCAACGAGCGCAACCCUUAUUGUUAGUUGCCAUCAUUUAGUUGGGCACUCUAGCAAGACUGCCGGUGACAAACCGGAGGAAGGUGGGGAUGACGUCAAAUCAUCAUGCCCCUUAUGACCUGGGCUACACACGUGCUACAAUGGGAAGUACAACGAGUCGCAAAGUCGCGAGGCUAAGCUAAUCUCUUAAAGCUUCUCUCAGUUCGGAUUGUAGGCUGCAACUCGCCUACAUGAAGCCGGAAUCGCUAGUAAUCGCGGAUCAGCACGCCGCGGUGAAUACGUUCCCGGGCCUUGUACACACCGCCCGUCACACCACGAGAGUUUGUAACACCCGAAGUCGGUGAGGUAACCUUUUGGAGCCAGCCGCCUAAGGUGGGAUAGAUGAUUGGGGUGAAGUCGUAACAAGGUAGCCGUAUCGGAAGGUGCGGCUG